Camponotus floridanus (Florida carpenter ant) is the source of this 505-nucleotide long non-coding RNA. RefSeq lists it as uncharacterized. The transcript has 3 exons. NCBI's taxonomy places the organism in Eukaryota, Metazoa, Arthropoda, Insecta, Hymenoptera, Formicidae. The record is from RefSeq and is a predicted model, not a curated record.
CGCAUAUAUAAUCAAGAGAGCAGACUAUAAAUAGUAAAUGCGUAGCAACAAGAUGGUAGUAUGUGUUUGUAUCCUGAAAGGAAAAGUUUUACGAGAAUCGUGAAGAAUAGUCAAAUUUUCUGAUCACGAUGAAGGUAUUCCUUACUGUUCUCUUUGGAAUCGUACUAAUAAUGAGCAUCAUGAUACUAUCAGGAGAAUCAAAUACAUCCACAACUCCUAAAACGCAUAUUAACACCACAACUCCUAAAUACAAAACCACCCCUCAUAUCAUAAAUGUUCCUGAAAGGACUCCCUGUCCGCCGGGCCAGAGAAAAAAUUCUCAUGGAGUAUGUCGCAAGACGUUAUAAUGGCGAGUGAUACACGCAAAUUCGAGAAAACACACUGGCAAUUUUAAAAAUUCAUGUGAAGUACUAUAGAAAUAAGUUAAUAUAAGUUUUUGCUCUAAUAUGUCAAAUACUGUCUCAGAAAUUCAUCGAAUUAAUCACUAAAUUAAUCAUUCUUUUAA